GGCCCUACACUGGAACAGGCCAUGGAGGAGGAGGAGGAUGAUGAUGAUGAUGAUGCUGCUGCAUUUAGUGACGACGAGCCAGAAUACAUUUUUGUCCGUCGCCAACCAGUGGAGGAGACACCUG
Molecule: long non-coding RNA, 124 nt
Organism: Pseudophryne corroboree (corroboree frog)
Lineage: Eukaryota; Metazoa; Chordata; Amphibia; Anura; Myobatrachidae
Exons: 3
Source: RefSeq, a predicted model, not a curated record